This 440-nucleotide ribosomal RNA is filed under the name uncultured bacterium. RNAcentral's name for it is "partial 16S ribosomal RNA". It matches the Rfam family "Bacterial small subunit ribosomal RNA", at positions 338 to 795 of the family's 1533-position model. The record is from RNAcentral.
GCUACGGGUGGCAGCAGUGGGGAAUAUUGCACAAUGGGGGAAACCCUGAUGCAGCGACGCCGCGUGAGUGAAGAAGUAUUUCGGUAUGUAAAGCUCUAUCAGCAGGGAAGAAAAUGACGGUACCUGACUAAGAAGCCCCGGCUAACUACGUGCCAGCAGCCGCGGUAAUACGUAGGGGGCAAGCGUUAUCCGGAUUUACUGGGCGUAAAGGGAGCGUAGACGGCGGAGCAAGUCAGAAGUGAAAACCCGGGGCUGAACCCUGGGAGUGCUUUUGAAACUGUUUGGCUGGAGUGCGGGAGAGGUAGGCGGAAUUCUUGGUGUAGCGGUAAAAUGCGUAGAGAUUAGGAGGAACACCAGUGGCGAAGGCGGCUUACUAGACUGUAACUGACGUUGAGGCUCGAAAGCGUGGGGAGCAAACAGGAUUAGAUACCCCUGUAGUC